This 499-nucleotide ribosomal RNA is filed under the name uncultured Glomeromycotina. RNAcentral describes it as "partial small subunit ribosomal RNA". It matches the Rfam family "Eukaryotic small subunit ribosomal RNA", at positions 591 to 1092 of the family's 1831-position model. The record is from RNAcentral. Lineage: Eukaryota; Fungi; Glomeromycota.
CCAAUAGCGUAUAUUAAAGUUGUUGCAGUUAAAAAGCUCGUAGUUGAAUUUCGGGACCAAUAUGUCGGUCGUGCUUCGGUACGUACUGGCAUUAUUGGUUUCUCCCUUCUGACGAACCAUGAUGUCAUUAAUUUGGUGUCUUGGGGAAUCAGGACUGUUACUUUGAAAAAAUUAGAGUGUUUAAAGCAGGCUCUCGCUUGAUUACAUUAGCAUGGAAUAAUGAAAUAGGACGUUUGAUUCUAUUUUGUUGGUUUCUAGGAUCGACGUAAUGAUUAAUAGUGAUAGUUGGGGGCAUUAGUAUUCAAUUGUCAGAGGUGAAAUUCUUGGAUUUAUUGAAGACUAACUACUGCGAAAGCAUUUGCCAAGGAUGUUUUCACUAAUCAAGAACGAAAGUUAGGGGAUCGAAGACGAUCAGAUACCGUCGUAGUCUUAACCAUAAACUAUGCCGACUAGGGAUCGGAUGAUGUUAAUUUUUUAAUGACUCAUUCGGCGCCUUACG